Molecule: ribosomal RNA, 837 nt
Filed under: Triticum aestivum (bread wheat)
Lineage: Eukaryota; Viridiplantae; Streptophyta; Magnoliopsida; Poales; Poaceae
Description: partial small subunit ribosomal RNA
Source: RNAcentral
AUGGCGUCAUGGUCAUCGUCGUCCACGCAGCGGAGCAGCGGCGCGACCAUGCCGUGCUCCGUGGUAAAGCUCGACGACGACCUGCUGCACCACGAGGAGGAGACCGCCGAGGAGAUCCGGCGCGGCCCGUGGACCGUGGAGGAGGACCUCACACUCGUCAACUACAUCGCCGACCACGGCGAUGACCGCUGGAACUCCCUCGCCCGCGCCGCCGGGCUUAAGCGGACGGGGAAGAGCUGCCGGCUGCGGUGGCUGAACUACCUCCGGCCGGACGUGAAGCGCGGCAACUUCACCGCCGACGAGCAGCUUCUCAUCCUCGACCUCCACUCCCGCUGGGGUAACAGGUGGUCCAAGAUAGCUCAACACCUUCCUGGGAGGACCGACAAUGAGAUCAAAAACUACUGGAGGACAAGGGUGCAAAAGCACGCCAAGCAGCUCAACUGUGAUGCUAACAGCACCAAGUUCAAGGAUGCCAUGAAGUAUCUAUGGAUGCCUCGCCUUGCUGACCACCACCUUCAGCAAGCAUCUACAGUAGGUGAUCAUCUUGUGCCUGGGCCACCAACGGCCUACAUGGAGAGCUCCGGCAUGGUGACAUCGUCGUCCGACUCGUUUGCAUCGGAGUCAUAUGAUGGUGCACGCUGUGCAAAUGCGAGCGUGGGAGAGAUGAUACAUAGUGGGGAUUGGGUUCAAGAGCAGAAUCAAGGGUUUUGGCCUGAGACAAACCAGAAUUUCCAGCUUCAAGACUCGGAGUUGUCUGGAUGGGUACAAGGGUUCUCCGAGUCCGACAGCCUCGCUGAGAAUUUUUGGAGUUUGGAGGACAUUUGGAAGAUGCAAUGA